Molecule: ribosomal RNA, 204 nt
Filed under: uncultured bacterium
Lineage: Bacteria
Description: partial 16S ribosomal RNA
Rfam family: Bacterial small subunit ribosomal RNA
Source: RNAcentral
ACGCUCGACACCUGCGGGGGGCAGCAGUGGGGAAUAUUGCACAAUGGGGGAAACCCUGAUGCAGCGACGCCGCGUGAAGGAAGAAGUAUCUCGGUAUGUAAACUUCUAUCAGCAGGGAAGAAAAUGACGGUACCUGACUAAGAAGCCCCGGCUAACUACGUGCAGCACGCCGACGGUUAAUCUGGAGGCGGGCUGGACGAAGGC